GUCACUCAUCAACCCAUUCUCUCGCGGUUUCUAAACUCGUGAACGUGUAUUAAAGCAAGAUCACGGAUACCUUCCAAUUCAUAUUUUCGGCAAAUUUCGGAAAUUUUGACACCUUCCAAUCAAGACUCAAACUAUGUUAGUAUAUAUACCACACACCUUUCACCACUCUCGACAACCAUACACACCCACAACACCUUCACGUAACCUUGCCGGGGAAUAAAGCUUUCGCCGGAAUAACCGAACAACAUCUCGACACACCCCCUCACACCCUCACAUCUUCUAUUCCCCUACUCGACACCCUCACCCUUCUCGGAUUCGUAACCAAGUCUGCUGGAGUUCACAGUUCUCAUUGAGGUUACGAGACGUCGCCGGAAUAACACCACGAACCACCUUUCACAACAUGUGUCGGACACCUCCCACACGUUAUUCCACCACAUUCUAUCUCCCUAUCUCACCCUCUCGUUGUUUCACGCCGACCAGAGCAUUUGGAACUCGCUGGAGUUCAUCGGAGAUCACGUCGGAAGUUCACGACGGAACCGCAUAACGUCGUGUUCGUCUAUUGGGAAAGGCAAAGUGGAUCAUGUUAUUCGUAUUGGAUAUGAGUUGAUAGAUGAAGAAUUCAAGAAUCAAGUUAGGGUGGAUUAGAAACACACCUAGAAAUAAACUAUGUUGGAAUCUUGUUUUGUUUAUUGGAAUCUUGUAUGACAUUUUAGCAUUUAUGAAAUUUGAUUAAAUCUAUAUUGUC
Molecule: long non-coding RNA, 745 nt
Filed under: Helianthus annuus (common sunflower)
Lineage: Eukaryota; Viridiplantae; Streptophyta; Magnoliopsida; Asterales; Asteraceae
Description: hypothetical non coding rna
Source: RNAcentral